RNAcentral lists this ribosomal RNA (497 nucleotides) under uncultured bacterium. Its description in RNAcentral is "partial 16S ribosomal RNA". It matches the Rfam family "Bacterial small subunit ribosomal RNA", at positions 28 to 507 of the family's 1533-position model. The record is from RNAcentral.
GAUGAACGCUGGCGGCGUGCCUAAUACAUGCAAGUCGAGCGAACAGAUGAGGAGCUUGCUCCUCUGACGUUAGCGGCGGACGGGUGAGUAACACGUGGAUAACCUACCUAUAAGACUGGGAUAACUUCGGGAAACCGGAGCUAAUACCGGAUAAUAUAUUGAACCGCAUGGUUCAAUAGUGAAAGACGGUUUUGCUGUCACUUAUAGAUGGAUCCGCGCCGCAUUAGCUAGUUGGUAAGGUAACGGCUUACCAAGGCAACGAUGCGUAGCCGACCUGAGAGGGUGAUCGGCCACACUGGAACUGAGACACGGUCCAGACUCCUACGGGAGGCAGCAGUAGGGAAUCUUCGGCGAUGGGCGAAAGCCUGACGGAGCAACGCCGCGUGAGUGAUGAAGGUCUUCGGAUCGUAAAACUCUGUUAUUAGGGAAGAACAAAUGUGUAAGUAACUAUGCACGUCUUGACGGUACCUAAUCAGAAAGCCACGGCUAACUACGUG